This 1542-nucleotide ribosomal RNA is filed under the name Escherichia coli. Its description in RNAcentral is "bacterial SSU rRNA". It matches the Rfam family "Bacterial small subunit ribosomal RNA". Lineage: Bacteria; Pseudomonadati; Pseudomonadota; Gammaproteobacteria; Enterobacterales; Enterobacteriaceae. The record is from RNAcentral.
AAAUUGAAGAGUUUGAUCAUGGCUCAGAUUGAACGCUGGCGGCAGGCCUAACACAUGCAAGUCGAACGGUAACAGGAAACAGCUUGCUGUUUCGCUGACGAGUGGCGGACGGGUGAGUAAUGUCUGGGAAGCUGCCUGAUGGAGGGGGAUAACUACUGGAAACGGUAGCUAAUACCGCAUAAUGUCGCAAGACCAAAGAGGGGGACCUUCGGGCCUCUUGCCAUCGGAUGUGCCCAGAUGGGAUUAGCUAGUAGGUGGGGUAACGGCUCACCUAGGCGACGAUCCCUAGCUGGUCUGAGAGGAUGACCAGCCACACUGGAACUGAGACACGGUCCAGACUCCUACGGGAGGCAGCAGUGGGGAAUAUUGCACAAUGGGCGCAAGCCUGAUGCAGCCAUGCCGCGUGUAUGAAGAAGGCCUUCGGGUUGUAAAGUACUUUCAGCGGGGAGGAAGGGAGUAAAGUUAAUACCUUUGCUCAUUGACGUUACCCGCAGAAGAAGCACCGGCUAACUCCGUGCCAGCAGCCGCGGUAAUACGGAGGGUGCAAGCGUUAAUCGGAAUUACUGGGCGUAAAGCGCACGCAGGCGGUUUGUUAAGUCAGAUGUGAAAUCCCCGGGCUCAACCUGGGAACUGCAUCUGAUACUGGCAAGCUUGAGUCUCGUAGAGGGGGGUAGAAUUCCAGGUGUAGCGGUGAAAUGCGUAGAGAUCUGGAGGAAUACCGGUGGCGAAGGCGGCCCCCUGGACGAAGACUGACGCUCAGGUGCGAAAGCGUGGGGAGCAAACAGGAUUAGAUACCCUGGUAGUCCACGCCGUAAACGAUGUCGACUUGGAGGUUGUGCCCUUGAGGCGUGGCUUCCGGAGCUAACGCGUUAAGUCGACCGCCUGGGGAGUACGGCCGCAAGGUUAAAACUCAAAUGAAUUGACGGGGGCCCGCACAAGCGGUGGAGCAUGUGGUUUAAUUCGAUGCAACGCGAAGAACCUUACCUGGUCUUGACAUCCACAGAACUUUCCAGAGAUGGAUUGGUGCCUUCGGGAACUGUGAGACAGGUGCUGCAUGGCUGUCGUCAGCUCGUGUUGUGAAAUGUUGGGUUAAGUCCCGCAACGAGCGCAACCCUUAUCCUUUGUUGCCAGCGGUCCGGCCGGGAACUCAAAGGAGACUGCCAGUGAUAAACUGGAGGAAGGUGGGGAUGACGUCAAGUCAUCAUGGCCCUUACGACCAGGGCUACACACGUGCUACAAUGGCGCAUACAAAGAGAAGCGACCUCGCGAGAGCAAGCGGACCUCAUAAAGUGCGUCGUAGUCCGGAUUGGAGUCUGCAACUCGACUCCAUGAAGUCGGAAUCGCUAGUAAUCGUGGAUCAGAAUGCCACGGUGAAUACGUUCCCGGGCCUUGUACACACCGCCCGUCACACCAUGGGAGUGGGUUGCAAAAGAAGUAGGUAGCUUAACCUUCGGGAGGGCGCUUACCACUUUGUGAUUCAUGACUGGGGUGAAGUCGUAACAAGGUAACCGUAGGGGAACCUGCGGUUGGAUCACCUCCUUA